Molecule: long non-coding RNA, 363 nt
Organism: Heterocephalus glaber (naked mole-rat)
Lineage: Eukaryota; Metazoa; Chordata; Mammalia; Rodentia; Bathyergidae
Source: Ensembl
AUGACAUCUUCACUUCCAGGAGCCAUGAUGAGUUCUGGAGCCUGACUGCUGAGUCCAGCUCUGGCUGUGCCACCCCCAAGCUGAAUGACUUAGGACCAUCCCGUCAUCCCUACAGCGGGUACCUGGCGGCAUCUCCUCUGCACUUUCUGGGGCAGAUUGGAUCAUUCCCAGGUUGUCACUUCCUCCCGGUUACAGAAUCCUGUGUGUGUGCUUUCGGCCCUGUGACUUGGCAGCACCUCCUACUAGGUAGGAGUGGAUUUCUUUGCCCUGUUGAUGCUGAGCUUGUCCAUAGGACUUGCUUUGGCUCUAUGAUGCCAAUAGACAUGAACAGAGUGGGACUUAAGGGUGCUGUGUAACUCUGCC